AGCUCAGUUGGUAGAGUACUUCCCUUGAAUAGAAGAAGCCCUGGGUUCGAUCCCCAG
RNAcentral lists this transfer RNA (57 nucleotides) under Mus musculus (house mouse). It matches the Rfam family "tRNA", at positions 9 to 63 of the family's 71-position model. From Rfam's summary of the family: Transfer RNA (tRNA) molecules are approximately 80 nucleotides in length. Their secondary structure includes four short double-helical elements and three loops (D, anti-codon, and T loops). Further hydrogen bonds mediate the characteristic L-shaped molecular structure. tRNAs have two regions of fundamental functional importance: the anti-codon, which is responsible for specific mRNA codon recognition, and the 3' end, to which the tRNAs corresponding amino acid is attached (by aminoacyl-tRNA synthetases). tRNAs cope with the degeneracy of the genetic code in two manners: having more than one tRNA (with a specific anti-codon) for a particular amino acid; and 'wobble' base-pairing, i.e. permitting non-standard base-pairing at the 3rd anti-codon position. RNAcentral also lists the same sequence under 1 other name. Lineage: Eukaryota; Metazoa; Chordata; Mammalia; Rodentia; Muridae. The record is from Rfam by way of RNAcentral.